RNAcentral lists this ribosomal RNA (494 nucleotides) under uncultured bacterium. Its description in RNAcentral is "partial 16S ribosomal RNA". It matches the Rfam family "Bacterial small subunit ribosomal RNA", at positions 28 to 507 of the family's 1533-position model. The record is from RNAcentral.
GACGAACGCUGGCGGCGUGCUUAACACAUGCAAGUCGAACGGUGAAGCGCCUUCCUUUUUGGUGGGUGUGGAUGAGUGGCGAACGGGUGAGUAACACGUGAGUAACCUGCCCCCUUCUUCUGGAUAACCGCAUGAAAGUGUGGCUAAUACGGGAUAUUCUGGGUCUGUCGCAUGAUGGGUCUGGGAAAGAUAUUGUUUCGGUGGGGGAUGGGCUCGCGGCCUAUCAGCUUGUUGGUGGGGUGAUGGCCUACCAAGGCGGUGACGGGUAGCCGGCCUGGGAGGGUGGACGGUCACACUGGGACUGAGACACGGCCCAGACUCCUACGGGAGGCAGCAGUGGGGAAUAUUGCACAAUGGGCGGAAGCCUGAUGCAGCGACGCCGCGUGAGGGAUGGAGGCCUUCGGGUUGUGAACCUCUUUCGCCAGUGAAGCAGGCCUGCCUCGUUUGUGGGUGGGUUGACGGUAGCUGGAGAAGAAGCGCCGGCUAACUACGUG